Molecule: ribosomal RNA, 440 nt
Filed under: uncultured bacterium
Lineage: Bacteria
Description: partial 16S ribosomal RNA
Rfam family: Bacterial small subunit ribosomal RNA
Source: RNAcentral
CCUACGGGUGGCAGCAGUGGGGAAUAUUGCACAAUGGAGGAAACCCUGAUGCAGCGACGCCGCGUGAAGGAAGAAGUAUUUCGGUAUGUAAACUUCUAUCAGCAGGGAAGAAAAUUACGGUACCUGUCUUAGAAGCCCCGUCCAAAUACGUUCCAGCAGCCGUGGCAAUACGGAGGAGGCAAGCGUUAUCCGGAUUUACUGGGUGUAAAGGGAGUGUAGGCGGUUUAGCAAGUCAGAAGUGAAAGCCCGGGGUCCAACUGCGGAACUGCAUUUGAAACUGUUUAACUAGAGUGCAGGAGAGGUAAGUGGAAUUCCUAGUGUAGCGGUGAAAUGCGUAGAUAUUAGGAAGAACGCCGAUGGCGAAGGCAGCUUACUGGACUGUAAAUGACGCUGAGGCUCGAAAGCGUGGGGAGCAAACAGGAUUAGAUACCCGAGUAGUC